RNAcentral lists this ribosomal RNA (253 nucleotides) under uncultured bacterium. RNAcentral's name for it is "partial 16S ribosomal RNA". It matches the Rfam family "Bacterial small subunit ribosomal RNA", at positions 524 to 776 of the family's 1533-position model. The record is from RNAcentral.
UACAGAGGUCUCAAGCGUUGUUCGGAUUCAUUGGGCGUAAAGGGCGCGUAGGCUGCGGGGCAAGUCGGGUGUGAAAUCUCAGAGCUCAACUCUGAAACUGCACUCGAUACUGCUUUGCUUGAGGACUGGAGAGGAGAUUGGAAUUUACGGUGUAGCGGUGAAAUGCGUAGAUAUCGUAAGGAAGACCAGUGGCGAAGGCGGGUCUCUGGACAGUUCCUGACGCUGAGGCACGAAGGUCAGGGGAGCAAACGGG